CAAUAGCGUAUAUUAAAGUUGUUGCAGUUAAAAAGCUCGUAGUUGAACUUCUGGUAGGAGCGACCCGGCCUUGGGGCGAAUGCUCCUUGUUUUGCUGUGUGUUGUCUCUGGCCAUCUUUGGUCUUUUCUUUGGAGGGACCAUCAUUUACUGUAAAAAAAUUAGAGUGUUCAAAGCAGAAUGUUAUGUUUGGAAUAUGUUAGUAUGGAAUAAUGAGAUAUGACCUUUGUUAUAUUUUGUUGGUUUACAAUCAAGGGUAAUGAUUAACAGGGACAGUUGGGGGUAUUCGUAUUUACUAGUCAGAGGUGAAAUUCUUGGAUUUAUGAAAGACGAACUACUGCGAAAGCAUUUACCAAGGAUGUUUUCAUUAA
Molecule: ribosomal RNA, 369 nt
Filed under: uncultured eukaryote
Lineage: Eukaryota
Description: partial 18S ribosomal RNA
Rfam family: Eukaryotic small subunit ribosomal RNA
Source: RNAcentral